UACGAAGGGAGCUAGCGUUGUUCGGAAUCACUGGGCGUAAAGCGCACGUAGGCGGAUUUGUAAGUCAGGGGUGAAAUCCCGAGGCUCAACCUCGGAACUGCCUUUGAUACUGUAAGUCUUGAGUCCGAGAGAGGUGAGUGGAAUUCCUAGUGUAGAGGUGAAAUUCGUAGAUAUUAGGAAGAACACCAGUGGCGAAGGCGGCUCACUGGCUCGGUACUGACGCUGAGGCGCGAAAGCGUGGGGAGCAAACAGG
RNAcentral lists this ribosomal RNA (253 nucleotides) under uncultured bacterium. RNAcentral's name for it is "partial 16S ribosomal RNA". It matches the Rfam family "Bacterial small subunit ribosomal RNA", at positions 524 to 776 of the family's 1533-position model. The record is from RNAcentral.